UCGGGGAAGCGACGCGAAGCUUCCGACAGAACCGAGUAGAUUUCUGUCUGAGAAUAUCACGAAGAGAGUAAACGACAAUGUUCUUCGCUGAGCGCGGAACGCGACAGCAUGACAGGACUUGACGAGUCCGAUUGCACUCACGCAAAAUGGCCGCUCUCCAGAUCGACGCGGAGAAGCAACCGAGGGACUUCCUCGAAAACGAACGAUAAAUAGUCUGCGCGGAUGAAACUAUCCCGCGGAGAUUAAAUUCGCGAUACCAAGCAAGAUGUAGCAUCGCGAAACCGUCUCCGCGUGGCGAAGACGUUCGGAAGAUAUACAUCGGGAAUGGAUGGUAACUCGCGAUGUCUUCGUGUAUUUGUAGGACGGUGACAAAAGUGUCAGCGAGGAACAUCGUCGUUUGCUUUCGUCAUUCUUUCGUGAAAUUGGAUCGUAAUGAAAUUCUAUUAAAAACAUGAAAAUUAAUAAAUUAAUUAAUAUUAGUCAAGGUGCUAUCAAGAUUGUCAAGUCAAUAAAUCCCAAAAUGGAACGAACUCCUAGGGGGCUUUUUUAUUAUCUACGUGCAAAUACUUAUUCUUAUCGUUUUGGUAUUACAAAUUAUGUAAUGUAGUUAUAAAAAUCAUUUAUUCAUACAAUUCCACAAAAAUAA
This is a long non-coding RNA of Pseudomyrmex gracilis, 646 nucleotides long. RefSeq lists it as uncharacterized. Lineage: Eukaryota; Metazoa; Arthropoda; Insecta; Hymenoptera; Formicidae. The transcript has 3 exons. The record is from RefSeq and is a predicted model, not a curated record.